Salvia miltiorrhiza (redroot sage) is the source of this 300-nucleotide long non-coding RNA. RefSeq lists it as uncharacterized. NCBI's taxonomy places the organism in Eukaryota, Viridiplantae, Streptophyta, Magnoliopsida, Lamiales, Lamiaceae. The transcript is spliced from 2 exons. The record is from RefSeq and is a predicted model, not a curated record.
GAAUAGAAUUUCUUGUAGGCUUUGUGACCAGGGGGAUUAGCGCUGCUUUCCCAAGACAGGUUUAUAAGUGAUUAUGAUCUUCAGGCUUUGCCUAACCAGGUUGGCUGGCUGGUGCUGACGGGACGGAGCUGAGGCUAGAGUUAAAAUUCAUAUGUUAGACUUCCGCUGUAGCAAUUACUCUUAUACAUCUUUUGUUUUCUCAACUUAAGAUGACUUCAUGUCGAGCUUAAAUUUGAAAUUCUAGUUUUAUGCUAAUGAAUGUUGGUUGUCAGAAACAUGAAACAAAACUUGUGAUCCAAA